RNAcentral lists this ribosomal RNA (497 nucleotides) under uncultured bacterium. Its description in RNAcentral is "partial 16S ribosomal RNA". It matches the Rfam family "Bacterial small subunit ribosomal RNA", at positions 28 to 507 of the family's 1533-position model. The record is from RNAcentral.
GAUGAACGCCGGCGGCGUGCCUAAUACAUGCAAGUCGAGCGAACGGACGAGAAGCUUGCUUCUCUGAUGUUAGCGGCGGACGGGUGAGUAACACGUGGAUAACCGACCUAUAAGACUGGGAUAACUUCGGGAAACCGGAGCUAAUACCGGAUAAUAUUUUGAACCGCAUGGUUCAAAAGUGAAAGACGGUCUUGCUGUCACUUAUAGAUGGAUCCGCGCUGCAUUAGCUAGUUGGUAAGGUAACGGCUUACCAAGGCAACGAUGCAUAGCCGACCUGAGAGGGUGAUCGGCCACACUGGAACUGAGACACGGUCCAGACUCCUACGGGAGGCAGCAGUAGGGAAUCUUCCGCAAUGGGCGAAAGCCUGACGGAGCAACGCCGCGUGAGUGAUGAAGGUCUUCGGAUCGUAAAACUCUGUUAUUAGGGAAGAACAUAUGUGUAAGUAACUGUGCACAUCUUGACGGUACCUAAUCAGAAAGCCACGGCUAGCUACGUG